CUAGAUUUAGUUUUAUCUGAUAUUAACAAAAUUUCUGAUAAUAUUAUUUGUUGUUUGAAUAAAGCACAAAAGUGCUGAUUUUAUGAGAAAAAAAAUCCAUGUAAAUAUCUUAUUGAAUUUAGAUUCAUUUGAAAUCGAAGUGAAACAUAACUGAUGUUUACAUUUGUGAAAUUAGCUUUUGUGCAUAACUGAAAUUCACAAAUUAAUGUUUAUUAAGUAGAUGUACACAGUUAUGUGGAUAUAUUUGAUUGGGCGAGUAUUCAUAUUGACUUGACAUGCAGAUAAUUGUUUGAACGAAUUAAUGUAUUGACCGGAGAUGUAGAUAAAUGUUAGGACGACUAUUUAAUGAUUGGACGGAUCUAUAAAUGAAUUGACGAAUGUAUAUACUGAUUGACAUAUACAGUAUAAUUGGAUGAAUAUAUAAACGAAUUGAAAGAUAUUUGAACGAUUGACAGAUGAAUAAACGAUAGACUGAUAUAUGUAUGAUUAACGGAUACGUUCAUGAUUGACGGAUAUAUACAUGGAUAGACGGAUAUAUAAAUGAUUGACAGAUACAUGUAUAUGCAUGGCUAGACCGUUAUAUAAAUGAUUGACGGAUAUAUGCAUGGAUAGACGAAUAUAUAAAUGAUUGACGGAUAUAUGCAUGAAUAGACGGAUAUGAAAUUGAUUUGAAUGGUUUUUGAAUGAUUUGACGAGUAUAUUAAAAAUGAUUGAAUGGUUUUUGAAUGAUUGGACGAGUAUAUUAAAAAUAAUUGAAUGGAUAUAUUUUUGAUAAGAUGGAUAUAUGAAUGGGAAUUUGACGGAUAUAUGACUUGACAAAUAGAUGCAUGAUAUAACGGAUAUAUGAUUAAUUUGACGGAUACAUGAUUAAUUGGACGAUUUAUAAAUAAUCGGAUAGUAUAAACCUCGAUAUGGGCGAUAUAUUCAUAUACAUAUAUUUGUUAAAUGCUAGAUAUUAUAUAUCAUUCAUCGGAUGGAUAUUUUUUGUUUGCAAGGACUCAUGAUUGAGUAAAUGAUAUUUGGUUAUUUGUAAGAAAUCCUUUUUUUAUUUUUACGUUGUACGAGGUAGUUGCUUAUAGUUUUAAUAUGUUUUUGUAUGUUUUUUUGUUAUGUUUUU
This 1117-nucleotide long non-coding RNA is filed under the name Mytilus galloprovincialis (Mediterranean mussel). Lineage: Eukaryota; Metazoa; Mollusca; Bivalvia; Mytilida; Mytilidae. The record is from RNAcentral.